GAGUGUUUUCUUGGAAGUCAGGCUGGGCUUCAGGGUAAUGCCAGCCCAUCGGAGCCCUCACAGCAGCUGGCUUCCAGCGCUGACAGAGUCUCAGCCCAGUCCUGGCUGGGGUCCAGGCUGCCUCCCACCCCUGCGGGGACACAGCCAGCUUCUCUCAGCUCUGGCCAUCUGCUCUCAGCCUCCCGUCCCUAAUCCGGGUGCGAAAGGAACACAGGCACUCGGCUCUCCUUCUCUUCCCACCCUGAAGAUAAGCGCAUGCCUUUUAAGGAGUUUGCCGCCGACCCCUUCAGGGAAAGCACAGUGAGUAACAGAGGCAUCGUGAAAACGAGGGAUUUACAAAUGUUUCAGACUUGAAGCAGCUGUUACAGCCCCGGCCGCUGGUGGGUGAACUUCCUGUCUGACCCGACUUGAAGAGGCCCACCUGCCCCAGGACAGAUGACCCCGCCAGGAUUCCAGCGUGGAGUCCCUGCAUGCGUUAGCUGGCUGCCAGCCCUUGGUUCCCAAGAGCUCAACAACAAGAACACAAAAUCGGGGCCACUGAGAAGCCGGACGCCAGCCCAGAAACCCUGGACAUCACACAAUGCACUGACGUGAAUUUACACUAUGCACCAUGCCCUCAAAAUUGCCUUUUGUUUCUGGUUGUUGCAGUUCCUUGGACCUUUUUCCAUGAUCCACCCUGGGGUUGGGGUUCUCUUUUUCAGACACCUAAAUACAAACAGUCUCGUUGUUCCUCUGUGUCUGAAAGACCUCCGAAAGCAGCACACCUUGGCCACUCCAGCCCCCUACCCGAUGGCUAGCCUCAGUGCUGAUUCCCCUGCCCAUGGACCACCAAGAGUCCAGAGCUCAGGCUGCCCCAGAGAAGAGCUCCCACUGCCCAGGAGCUGCUCCAACUCUCUCUGUGCCCAUCUCAGUGCCCUGUGCUAAGAUGCAAUCUUCCAGGGGCCUCUGGGGCUUGCACAGCCGCUGACCCGGCCUUCCACAGACGCAAGUGUCCAAGGAGGACAGAAACAACAGCCAGCACCCAGUGCAAAGGACAUAUGGGAUCACAACCUUUGAAGCCCGAUAACCUGGUUUGAAACCCCAGCUCACACCUACCAGCUGUGUGCCAAGGUACCCUCUCUGAGCCUCAGUCAUGCACCUUGCAACAGUAUGGACCUCAUGGAACUAUUCAAUGGCAGGAUAUAAAGCACUCAGCCCGGAGCCUGGCACACGGUGCCAAAGGGUGGCCUCAGUUGGCAUCACGCUGGUCCAGGUGUCUGAGUAGUCAGGUAGGGUGACGCAGACCUCUUCCAGCCUCGUGCCCAUCCACGAACUUACUUGGCAUCUCAGGCACAAUUGGAGGAGGCUGGGUCUUGGCCAGGGAGCACAGGAGGUUUCUCACCGUGGCAGGGAAAUUGCUGGCUUGGGGGUGCGGACAGCCACAGUGACCGUCUCUCUGCAGGACGGAUGCGGCUUUGCUGACAGAGAGUCUGCGGCCUGGACAUACCAGCGGUGCAGGUCUGAGGUCAGCAGUGGGGAGCCGGGCCCACCACGGCCUCACCAUCCCCGGCAGGGCCCCACCAGGGCAAGGCAUCUGCUUCCAAUCAGCUGCCCCUCAGCCCAGGGAGGGGGCGGGGGGGCUGAGGCCUCCUCCCCAGGCUGGGCUCUCACCAGGCAGAACGGACAUCAAGAGCAAAGAAAUCAGGGAGACACUCCGGGGUUCUGGGUCCAGGGGCCCAGGCCAAACAGAAAAGGACUGGAAAUAGAGGUUUAUUGUUAGCUCAUUUAAAGGAAAUCCUCCUAGCUCCCUGUUGCAAAACCACACCCAGUCGAGCCCAGUCAGUACCCCCAAGCCCCUCCUGGCUCAUGCAUCUGGCUUGUUCCCCACUACAGACUUUGCACUAACCCCCUGUGCCUGGGGGUCCCUCUCCUGCUCUGUGCCCGGCUGACCCCUCAUCCUUCAGCUUAAAUCCCAUUUCCUUAGGAAAACCUCCUUGGCCCCAUGUUUGGUCCCAAUUAAACAACCUUGUUUGGCAUGAUUCGGUUUGUACUUACGUAGUUAUCUGUGUAAGUCAGAAUUGCAUCUGUCUCCCUUGAGACCAUAUCCCUAAAAUCCAGCAUGGAGCCUGGCACAGAGCACGUGCUCAAU
Molecule: non-coding RNA, 2128 nt
Organism: Puma concolor (puma)
Lineage: Eukaryota; Metazoa; Chordata; Mammalia; Carnivora; Felidae
Source: RefSeq, a predicted model, not a curated record